AUGAUGAAGCCGUGGGAUUGCCCCCUGGAAAUGAUCACACCUGCGUGGAGAGAUAAGGGAAGCAUUGCAUUUUGGGAUGUGAACAUGCCAAACCGGAUCUUUGAAGCAACAGAGAACCUUUCUGCGGAUCCAGAGAUAAGAAAAUGGGCUUCCAUGCAUGUUCCCCAUAUGAUAAAAUUCACUACAUUUCAUCAUAAUCUCUUGUACAAGUUGAGAUGUUGCAAUGAAGUUGCAUGUCAUGCGGCACAGUUUGGUGUGAGGUUUGUUAAUGAAGAAAUCUAACAGGCUGAGGAGAGCCUCCCCAGUGCCAAACACAGUUCACGAGCGAGAGCGCUUCAGUGCAGAAUAUGUGCAUUCACUGCAGAGCGCGCAGUAGUAAACUGACAUCGCAGCUUUCUAUGCAUUUUACAUGAGGGUUGUUGCCUGUCGAGGCCUUUCUCUCUCGCUCGCUCUCUUUCCUAAGCUGUUCCACAGCUACACUUCUCAGACAACAAAAUUGAAAGAGGAAAGAAAUGAAAGAACUGCGUCAUUGUCUGAUCAAAUCAACCUUGCAUCAUGUACCUUUCCGACAGUACCCAGAAUUCAUCAUGAUCUCAGAAAAACGAUCUGGCAUAUGCUGUGUUUACAAAGGAAAUGUCUUUGGAGUGCCUUUUCUGGUUGCGCUCUCUUUGUUUUUCUCAAGCGCUAAACAUAUUUACGCUUUAAUAAUACAAGCCGCAUUAAAAAUGAAAACUCAUCAUUAGCCGUGGACGUUCACAAAAUCAUUUUCCGCACUAUUAGCCCAUUUAUCCGUGCUAGUGAUAAUGAUAAGCAAAUAACCGAAGAGAGAGCUGUAAAGAGCAGACCGCAGUGCGACUGAACCUGUUGCGAUGCCCACCAUUGGCGGUCAUCAUUACGGUCACAUCUUCAUUCUUUCAGCGUCUGAUCUCAGGUCAGCUCCUGACAGUGGCAUUACUCACAUCUCAUUUCCUCAGCAUCUGUGCUCAGCUGCUCCUGGGUCAGCGACUCCUGCUGGUGUUAGUGACGUCCCAUUUACCCCGUGUGGCCUGACCUGAUCUGGGGUCAUCCACAGGUGGAGCUGCUUGCGUCUCAUUUUGCUUUGGCUGGCCGCACUCUGAUCUCCGGUCAGCGAGUCUGCAGGAUCGAUUGCGUAUUGCUGAUGAAUUCAUGGUGCAAUGAGGCAGAGCUACACGUGUUUCCACUGCAGCUGCCCUCAACUACACAAACCAGUGAUAUGUAUCAGUUUAUAUCCACCCCUAGCAACACCCUAGCAACUGCAAAUCAAACACUUAGCAAUGCCGCGGAAACGAUCCAGGAAACCACAGUAGCCUAACAGCUGUCUAACUGUAUCUUGUCUGACUGUUCAGCAACUGAAAUAAAAUUCAAUUCAUUUUUAUGGAUCAA
Cyprinus carpio carpio is the source of this 1404-nucleotide long non-coding RNA. NCBI's taxonomy places the organism in Eukaryota, Metazoa, Chordata, Actinopteri, Cypriniformes, Cyprinidae. The record is from Ensembl.